Molecule: transfer RNA, 71 nt
Filed under: Microcaldota archaeon
Lineage: Archaea; Nanobdellati; Microcaldota
Description: tRNA-Val
Rfam family: tRNA
About the family: Transfer RNA (tRNA) molecules are approximately 80 nucleotides in length. Their secondary structure includes four short double-helical elements and three loops (D, anti-codon, and T loops).
Source: RNAcentral
GGGCUCGUAGUCCAAUGGUAAGACGUCGCCUUCACACGGCGGAGACCUGGGUUCGAUUCCCUGCGGGCCCA